UGGAUAACAGGUUGAUAUUCCUGUACCACCUAUAAUCGUUUUAAUCGAUGGGGGGACGCAGUAGGAUAGGCGAAGCGUGCGAUUGGAUUGCACGUCUAAGCAGUAAGGCUGAGUAUUAGGCAAAUCCGGUACUCGUUAAGGCUGAGCUGUGAUGGGGAGAAGACAUUGUGUCUUCGAGUCGUUGAUUUCACACUGCCGAGAAAAGCCUCUAGAU
RNAcentral lists this ribosomal RNA (214 nucleotides) under Staphylococcus aureus. Its description in RNAcentral is "partial 23S ribosomal RNA". It matches the Rfam family "Bacterial large subunit ribosomal RNA", at positions 1419 to 1627 of the family's 2925-position model. Lineage: Bacteria; Bacillati; Bacillota; Bacilli; Caryophanales; Staphylococcaceae. The record is from RNAcentral.